AUGGAAACACGUAGAUGGUAUAAAAAAAUAACGAGAGGUAAAAUUCCAUUACCAAGAGAUCAACAUUGUUCUGUAGUAUAUCCUGCCAAAAGUGAGCAUUUAAGAGCAGAUAAAAUGCAUUUAACUGAAGGUGUUAUAAUUUUUGGAGGUAAAUGUUUAUAUAAUAAUAAUAUAGUUAAUUUAAAUGAUAUGUGGAUGUAUCUAUUUAAGUAUAAUAUGUGGACACGUAUUAAUUAUUUGGGUGAAGAAGCACCAAUAGGUAGAUAUGGCAUGAAUAUGAUCUGGUCCGAUGUAAACACUCUAUGUUUAUUUGGUGGGGAAUAUUAUGAUAUUAAUAAAACUUCAGAAGAUAGAAAAUUGUUAGAUGAUAUGUGGUUAUUUAAGUUAUAUAGUAUAGACUUUAGUACUAAUGUGAUAGUGAACACAUACACUACACAUAAGGCAGUAGUGGGAACAAAUCAUGGCACUAUGUCUAGUAGUAAAGAAGGGGGAGGAGGAGGAGGAGGAACAUAUCAUACAGUAUAUGAUUCAGGUGAAAAGUCACAAAAUGAGUAUAAUUCAUAUACAAAAGAAAAUAAGAAUAUCGGUUUAAAUAAAAGACAGAAUAUUCAGAAUGGUUUAGUGAAUAAUGACACUGAUAGUGGUAACGGUGUUACUACUGCCGGUGUUGGUGGUGGUACAGGUUCAGGUACAGGUUCAGGUACAGGUACAGGUUCAGGUACAGGUACAGGUUCAGGUACAGGUUCAGGUUCAGGUUCAGGUCCAGGUUCAGGUCCAGGUGUAGAUGAGGUUGCUACUACUGCUACCAAUAACAGUGGUAAUAAUACAAACACGACACAACCGUCGUCAGAUACUAACAUUGGGAAUGAUAGUAGUGGUAAUAAUAAAAGUGCCAAAAGUGGAACCACAACCAAAACUGGUACGAAUAAAACCGACACAACUAAAACGGAUACAGGUAAAACUGACACAGCUAGAACUGACAACAUGUCGAAAAAUGAUAUAACGAAUACACUAAAAGUCACAGGGGAAUGGACAAGAGAAAAAUAUAUAGGAAAUAUAGGGUGCCGAUCUAACUACUGCAGUCUGUUCAUUACACAAAGACAUCAAGAUUCGAAAGGAUGUGAGCCAAAGACCGUUGAGAAAUUAAUGCUUUUAUGUAAUGGUAUAACUUAUUCAAAUAGAGAUAAUGUAGUACGGAUUGUAUCUACCGAUGAAAUUUUUGUUUAUUUUUUUUCACAAAAAAAAUGGUAUUUAUUAAGAGGUAAAUUAUUUAAUGAAGAGUUUAUAUUUAAUCCUAGACAAAGACAUGUAGGUUGUUUUUUUGAAUCAAAAAACAUUUUAGGUAAAUCGAAUAAAAAUCCGGUUCCAUGUAUAUUUAUUCAUGGUGGGUUUAGAAAGAAUUAUAUUUAUGGUGAUGCUUGGUUGUUAUCAUUAACAGGUGAAAAUCCAUUGAGAGUAUAUGAAUAUGAUACUACAAGAGAAAAAAUACCAACUACUCAAAUGCCAUUAUAUUAUUUUAGAGAUACUCAUUCGAUUAGUUUAUUAUAUAGUUUUUGUACGUUACAGAAAUGGUUGUUUGGUGCUUUUGCAAAUUUGGUUGAUAAUUGUGUACAUGCUGUAAAUCCAGCUGAAAAUAUUUUUAUAAAAUAUGAAUUAACACCUGAACAUGAUGGUAUGAUAUCAAUUCAAGAUGAUGGGGAAGGAUUAGAUUUUAAUGCUAUGAAUAGAAUAUUACGAAUGUAUGGAAAUUAUAAAAAUUAUGACACCCAUUCUAUAUAUAAUAGUAAUAAUAAUGGUAAUAUUAUGAAACAUGCAUUACCUAAUAAUGAUUUUGUUAAUAAUACUAAAAUUGAUGAAUAUGAUGAAGAGAAGCGUCAAUAUAAUUAUAAUAAUGACAGUAGUGAUACUAAUAAAAAUAGUUCUGGAAAAAGUGGUUAUUAUGGUUCUACAAAAAAUAAAAAUAAUUCACAUUAUCAUGAACAACAUGGUGGUAAUAGCACUAACGAUGUAUUAUCACAUAAAGGAAAACGCAUUAACAGUCAUAAUUAUAGUGAAAAAAAUAAACAAAACGAAUAUAAUGAAAUAUGUAAUAGUAGUAAUGAUAAUGAGGAUGUUAUGGGUGAUCAAGUGAAGAAAGGUGAAGGAGAUAAUGGAGAGGAAGAAGGAAAAAAUAAUUAUAAUAAUAAUUGUAAUAAUUCCGGUAAUAACGAAAUGAAUUAUGAUAAUAAUAAAAACGAUUGUAACAGUGGUGGUAGUAGUAGUAAUAGUAGAUUAGACGUGAAUAGAAACACAACGAAUGGUAAUAGUAGUACUAUAACUGGUUAUAGUAACACCCAGUUUAAUAAUAAUAAUAAUAAUAAUAAUAAUAAUAAUAAUAAUAGUACAGGUAGGAAAAAAUGUUCAGGUUGGAAUGAAAGUUAUUAUUAUAAAAAUUAUGAUCAAGAUUAUUUUUAUAAUGAAAAUGCAAACAAUAUAUUUGAUGUAAAAUAUGGAGUAGGUUUUAAAAUGGCAUAUGCUAGAAUAGCUUCAAGUUGUGCAAUAAUGUCAAGAACAGUUAAUACAAUAGGGAUAGGUUUAUUAUCAUUAGAAUUAAUGAAUCAUUGUGAUUCAAAAGAAUUAGCUACACCAUUAUGUAUGUGGAAAUUACCUAAUAAAGAAUUAAUAAAUAGAAAUAUUGCAAAUAAAUCAGAACAUCGACAUCAUCAAAAAUUAUUAAUGUCUUAUACUCCUUUUAAUAGUCCUAGUUUAUUAGCUGAACAGAUUAAUAUAUUAGGAACGUAUAGUGGUACAAGAUUAUUAUUUUGGGAUUUUAGAGAUGACAUGGAUUUUGUUAUUUUUAAUGCAUCAAAUAAUAAUAUUUAUUUGAGUAGUUCACCUAUUACUAUGGAUGAAAUUAAAUGUUCUAAUAAAAAAGAAUCAUCAAGUGCUACAGCUCAUCAUAGUGUUAAAAGUGGUGAGUAUGUUGGGGGAUAUAAUAGUAAUAGUAGACAUCAUUCAAAUCAACAUCGUUUAGAGGAUAUAAAAAAUAAUAAUACUGAUGUUAAAAGAAGAGUAAAUUUUGAAGAUGAAAAAAAAAUUAAAAAAACGAAGUUAAAUGUCGAUAAUGGGGGGGUUAUAAUGUCAUGUGUUGAAGAUACGACAAAAACAGGUACUAAUACGUUGACAAAUGUAGAUGGUACUAUAAAUAAUGGUGGUACUAAAAAUAAUGGUGGUACUAAAAAUAAUGGUGGUACUAAAAAUAAUGAUGGUACAAUAAAUAAUGAUGGUACAAUAAAUAAUGAUGGUACAAUAAAUAAUGANNNNNNNNNNAUAAAUAAUGAUGGUACAAUAAAUAAUGAUGGUACAAUAAAUAAUGAAUCUGAUAAUGUUGUUGCUUAUGGAACGAGUGAAGAUGACAAUGACGAUGAUGAUGGUGUUAAUGAUGGUGAUGAUGGUGAUGAUGUUGGUGAUGAUGGUGGUGAUGGUGGUGAUGAUGAAGAGUUUAAAAAUGCAAAAGAAGAUGAGGAGAAUGUACAAGAAGAAUAAAAACUGGGAUUAGGAAAGGAAUCGCAUGUGACAAAAAUAUUGUUAUUAACGUAUGGCUAUAGAUAUAGAUACACAUUACAAUAUAUAUUUAUUAACAUAAAAAAAAAAAAAAAAAAAAAAAAAAAAAAAAAAAAAAAAAANNNNNNNNNNNNNNNNNNNNNNNNNNNNNNNNNNNNNNNNNNNNNNNNNNNNNNNNNNNNNNNNNNNNNNNNNNNNNNNNNNNNNNNNNNNNNNNNNNNNAUUUGUUCCAUACGAAAAAGGCUAUAUAUAUAUAUAUAUAUAUAUAUGUGUACGUGUGUAUGUAUGUUACUUCAACCUAGACUCUUUCAUUUUUAUGUUAAAUUAUAAUUUUUACUAAAUUAUUUUAUAUUUGAAUAAAAAAAAAAAAAAGAAGAAGAAGAAAUUCUUC
RNAcentral lists this long non-coding RNA (3934 nucleotides) under Piliocolobus tephrosceles (Ugandan red Colobus). RNAcentral describes it as "lncRNA (ENSPTEG00000029628.1)". Lineage: Eukaryota; Metazoa; Chordata; Mammalia; Primates; Cercopithecidae. The record is from RNAcentral.